GUGUCGGAUUCUAAGGUUCCUGAUAUUCAAGCAGGAUAUGAAAAGAUGUCGAAUAUUUUACUAGCAGCUUUAUCUGGUGCUAAUUAUAUUCAUGAUGCAG
Selenihalanaerobacter shriftii is the source of this 100-nucleotide non-coding RNA. The record is from Rfam. Lineage: Bacteria; Bacillati; Bacillota; Clostridia; Halanaerobiales; Halobacteroidaceae.